UAGUGAAUCGACUAGAUCUUGAAGAAGAUGAUUCUGGUGAUGUAUUUUGAGAUACCCGAGACUUCAAGGACCUAAAUGAUGACUCUACUUUGGUUAUUUGACUGGGAUCUCUUCAUGCAACUUGUAGAGGAUACCUUGAUGUAUAACAUAUCCAAAUUUCAGAGGAAACGAAAGAGAAUAGGUAGGUUAAAUCUCAAUAUUUCGGUGAUAUGUGCACUGGACGAUGCGGUAAUGGAUCCAGAAGAUUCGUGAGGGUUGUAUAAAAU
RNAcentral lists this long non-coding RNA (266 nucleotides) under Eucalyptus grandis. RNAcentral describes it as "long non-coding RNA (EGRA_LNC005813)". The record is from RNAcentral. Lineage: Eukaryota; Viridiplantae; Streptophyta; Magnoliopsida; Myrtales; Myrtaceae.